This is an RNA transcript of Syngnathoides biaculeatus (alligator pipefish), 4031 nucleotides long. It is a transcript of the gene named lysine (K)-specific demethylase 2Aa, with no coding region annotated. The record is from RefSeq and is a predicted model, not a curated record. Lineage: Eukaryota; Metazoa; Chordata; Actinopteri; Syngnathiformes; Syngnathidae. The transcript has 27 exons.
UGUUCAAGAUAAGGAAUGCCAGAAGUCUCACUAAGCAGCAUACGGUCUGGUACCAGGCGGCGAUACCAAGAGGACGUAAUCUCAGAUGAAGAAAUUGAUGGAAGAAGAAUGUUUGAUCUGGAGGAAAAGGUCUACAGCCAAAGGUUCAACUCUGAUAGGAUUAUUCGCAUGCAAGGAAAAGAUUUAACGUAUGAAUUCAUCCAAAGAAGUGGCCUGAGAGACCCAAUCAUCUUUGAGAAAAUUGAUGGACUUGGACUUAAGAUGCCUGAUCCAGAUUUCAGUGUUAAUGAUGUCAAGAUGUUUGUUGGUAGCAGACGUAUGAUUGAUGUCAUGGAUGUUAGCACUCAGAAGGGGACAGAGAUGUCAAUGGCCCAGUGGACACGAUACUAUGAGAGUUCUUCAUCUCAGCGAGAGAAGCUCUACAAUGUUAUCAGCCUGGAGUUCAGCCACACAAAACUGGAAAAUUUGGUCAAGAGACCUUCCACACUUGAUCUUAUAGAUUGGGUUGACAACAUGUGGCCCCGUCACCUGAAAGAGAGGCAGCGAGACUCUACCAACUCAAUCAGUGAUAUGCAGUAUCCCAAAGUACAAAAGUACUGUCUGAUGAGUGUGGAGGGAUGCUAUACAGACUUUCACAUAGACUUUGGAGGAACAUCUGUGUGGUAUCAUAUACUAAAAGGAAGCAAGGUAGUCUGGCUGAUCCCUCCCACAGCUCCGAACUUAGAGCUCUAUGAACACUGGGUCUUGUCAGGAAAACAGGGAGAUAUUUUUCUUGGGGAUCGAGCAUCUGAUUGCCAGAGGAUUGAACUUCGACAAGGAUGGACCUUCAUCAUACCAUCAGGUUGGAUUCAUGCAGUCUACACACCUAUUGAUUCCAUUGUCUUUGGAGGCAACUUUCUUCACAGCUUUAACAUUCCAAUGCAACUCAACAUCUGUAAUAUUGAGGACCGCACACGGGUUCCCGUGAAGUUUCGUCACCCAUUCUAUAAUGAGAUGUGCUGGUAUGUGUUGGAGCGCUAUAUCUUCAGUCUGACCAAGACCUCUUACCUUACACCAGAAUUUCAGAGGUUGUCUCUAGAUAUUGAUCCAGCAUUUGAGGAUAUGGAGGAAGAAGAUAAGAGUGUCAGUGAAGAUGAUGUUUCAGAGCAGCUCUGUAACAAACCAGCAGGUCAAGUUAAUUUGACUCCAUUGGAGCUUGAGGGGCUGUGGAACUUGGUGGGUAAACUUGAAUCAUUGCCAUCCAACAAGAAGUGUGUCCCACCAGGCAUACACAAUUCCCUGGAACUCAUCACACACAUUAAGGCAGUCCUAAAGGAGCAUGCUAAUGAUGAUCCAAAACAAUCCUACACCGGAAAACCCAUUGUCAGAUGGCCAAAGAGGCCCUUGAACUAUCAGUCACUACCAGCACCAACUCCUCUUCAUCCUAAACUGGUUGCUGCUCCUGUCAUGCCACGACCACAGAAGCCUUCCUCUUCCAUGUCUGUCCUGAGGCGACGCAGGGUCAGGUGUAAGCGCUGUGAGGCGUGUAUGAGAGCUGAAUGUGGUGAUUGUAAUUUCUGCCGAGACAUGAAAAAGUUUGGAGGACCUGGAAAGCUUAAGCAAACCUGUGUGCUACGCCAAUGUCUCUCACCAGGACUUCCGCUGUCUGCGGUUUGUGAAAUAUGCAAGGAGCCAAACCAAGACGAAACUGGAGGUGGCGUCUUUACUCUGAUGGAAUGUUCCAAUUGUGCACAGAUAGUGCACCCAGCUUGCCUCACGGGAGAGCCCGGACACCCUGGGGAGAAACCCAUUUCGACCGCUCGGUCAAACAUCAUAGGGGAAAUCUUUGGAUUGCUUCCAUAUUCCAACCAGGUUCGAGGUGAAGGAGUUAUCAACAAAGAUCUUCCAAGCUGUUGGGAAUGUCCAAAAUGUGUUCAAGGGAUAACUGACUCAGAGAAACGGAAAUGUUCCUCUCUGCUGGAUUCCCGUAUGGCUAAGAUAUUUCGACAGCAGAGACAUAGUCGUGAUGAAAAUGACUCCAGCGACGAUGACGAGGAUGAAGCCACACAGAGAAAAAGGGUAAGGAUACAGCGAGGAGGAUGCCACUCUUCCCGGAGGGGAUUUCGUACCAACAGGCGAGGACUUCUUAAAGGACUAUCGACCCACAGAGGAAGCAGUGAAGGGCCUUUGACUCUUGGUACUCCUUCCAUCCUCAAGAACAAGUCUGGUAGGAGGAGAGGGGUGAGAUUAAGGGGUGGUUCAAAGAUGCAGCAAAGAGGCGCUUCCACUGAGGAAUCUGAUUGUGAUGAGGAGGAAGAAGACGAUGACAGUGAAAAUGGAGACCAAGAUCAGCAUCCUCAUCAUUAUAAUUGGAGGUCAAGGAGUCAUGAUGAUGAAGGUGAGGAGAGUGAGAAACAUGAAUUUGACCCAGAGGAUGAGGUCAUGGACCUAGAAGAUGAAGACCAGGAAGGACCCGGGGAUUCUGACCCAGAACCUCCAGUGCUCUUGAUGUCGGAUCUAAAUGAUGACAUGCUUUGCGGCUCCUACCUGACUGUGACACUACAACAUCCCACCAAGACCAAUACAAUAUCUGUUCCAAAAAUGGAAGCUGCCUUGGGUUUUAAGACACCUCCAGUAAAUGCAUGUGGUCAACAAAUCUUCAACCAAAAGAGCAGUUUUUCCAAACCUUUACGGUUCAAGAGCGAUGACAACACACGAGAUUGCCACACUCCACAAGGAUCAGGAAGGUCAAGUCUUCGCGGCAUCCGGAGCUCUGUCAAUCAGUCUGUGUCCACAGAGGAAGGGGAACCAGUUACUUCCUCUGUCCCUCCAACACUAUCACUUCCAUCCCCGCUGUGCAUAUCAUCUUUUCAGGAUGUGGAUGGGAGUGGAGGAGAGAAGGAAGUGUGGGUGUCUGUGUUCAGAUACCUAAACAAAGCUGAACUACUCAACUGCAUGACUGUCUGCAAGGCCUGGUAUAAGUGGAGCUUCGAUAAGCAUCUAUGGAGCCAUCUGAAUAUGAGUCGAUUCAAUCAACUUAAUAACCAGGCCCUGGCAGGUAUCAUAAAACAUCAGCCCACUUCUUUGGACCUCUCAUGGACACCCCUGGCUAAAAGACAGCUCAUCUGUCUUCUAACCAGGCUUCCAGGUCUUAGAGAGUUGAGGGUUGCUGGCCUCUCCUGGUCAUGCCUAUCAGCAUUGGUCUCCCCUGCUCUUCCCCAUCUUCAACUACUGGAUCUCCGCUGGUGUGAAGGCAUUAAAGAUACACAAUUUAAAGAACUCCUCACCCAACAUGGCUCAGAGUCAUCUCGCUCCAGACUAAAGAACAUAGUGACACUGCACCUGUCUGGUCUGGAUAUCAAUGAAUCCACUCUGAGACUUAUGCAGCAUCAUAUGCCACACUUGCAGAAGCUGGACCUCGCACACUGCAAGAACAUUACAGAUUCUUCCAUAGCUUUACUGGCAGCAGGGGGGGCACGCACUCGGAGCAACCUCAAUGAACUCAUUCUCACAGGUUGUUAUCAGCUGAGCGAUGGGUGUAUGUCCUACCUGAAGCGCAUAUCCUCUUUGACUCUUCUGGAUAUAAGAGGCUGCAAAAACAUCAGUAUCCAAGCCUGCAACACCUUCAUCUCUGACCUGUCACACGUUGCUGUGUACUGUAUGAUAGAGGAGAAGGUCAUCCAAUGUCUGAACUAAGAGGGAUGGCAGAGAGCAGGCAGCAAUCUUCUGGCGCUGUUGACCACUCUGCAGAGCUUUCCUGUCCGCUGCUGUGCAUCCAGCAUACCACAAUAUGAUACAAUGUUGCAGGAACGAUCUCCUGCACAAGAGGUUGACAUCAAACCAGCAGAUGCUGAUCCUGACAAAGCCCAAGAUUUAGCACAACAUCAAGAUUUGUCGACAGCAGAUAUUAUACUGUCAUAAUUAUUUAAACCUCAGGUGUUCUCAAAGUACUCUUAUUGAAAGACCAAAUAAGCAUUAAGAAAAAAUGCUACGAGCGAAACAUAUUUAUACACAAUGUAACCAUACAGUUUAAUAAAAAUGUUACGAUUUUA